Molecule: ribosomal RNA, 523 nt
Filed under: uncultured bacterium
Lineage: Bacteria
Description: bacterial SSU rRNA
Rfam family: Bacterial small subunit ribosomal RNA
Source: RNAcentral
AUGCCUAAGACAUGCAAGUACGAACGAAGUGGCCCAAUGAAGAAUGCGAGCUUGCUCAAGUUGGAUUGGAUUCCCACUUAGUGGCGCAAGGGUGAGUAACACGUGGGUAAUCUACCUUCGAGUCUGGAAUAACAGUUAGAAAUGAUUGCUAAUGCCGGAUAAUAUGGAGAACGAUAUUUCAUUUUUUAUUAAAAGGAGCCUUUAAAGCUUCGCUUGAAGAUGAGCCUGCGCCGUAUUAGCUAGUUGGUGGGGUAAAGGCCUACCAAGGCAACGAUGCGUAGCCGACCUGAGAGGGUGAUCGGUCACACUGGGACUGAGACACGGCCCAGACUCCUACGGGAGACAGCAGUUAGGAAUAUUCGUCAAUGGGGGAAACCCUGAACGAGCAAUGCCGCGUGAAGGGAAUGACGGUCCUAUGGAUUGUAAACUUCUGUUGUUAGGGAAGAACGACCUGUAUAGGAAAUGAUACAGGAGUGACGGUACCUUUCAAGAAAGCUCCGGCUAACUACGUGCCAGCCGCUGC